UACAGAGACUGCAAGCGUUGUUCGGAAUUACUGGGCGUAAAGCGCGUGUAGGCUGUCGCGCAAGUCGGGUGUGAAAGCCCAGGGCUCAACCCUGGAAGUGCACUCGAAACUGCGUGACUUGAAUCUCGGAGAGGGUAGCGGAAUUCUGGGUGUAGAGGUGAAAUUCGUAGAUAUCCAGAGGAACACCGGUGGCGAAGGCGGCUACCUGGACGAGUACUGACGCUGAGACGCGAAAGUGUGGGGAGCAAACAGG
Molecule: unclassified non-coding RNA, 253 nt
Filed under: uncultured Myxococcales bacterium
Lineage: Bacteria; Pseudomonadati; Myxococcota; Myxococcia; Myxococcales
Description: contains 16S-23S intergenic spacer region
Rfam family: Bacterial small subunit ribosomal RNA
Source: RNAcentral